This is a long non-coding RNA of Leopardus geoffroyi (Geoffroy's cat), 4295 nucleotides long. RefSeq lists it as uncharacterized. The record is from RefSeq and is a predicted model, not a curated record. NCBI's taxonomy places the organism in Eukaryota, Metazoa, Chordata, Mammalia, Carnivora, Felidae. The transcript has 3 exons.
UGAGGAGGGCACCUGUUGGGAUGAGCACUGGGUGUUGUAUGGAAACCAAUUUGACAAUAAAUUUCAUAUUUAAAAAAAAAGAUUCAUCAGUGACUAAGCAAUGCAAAAUGCUAGUUAAGAGUGAAUCACAAUGAAAUACAAUGCUGCCAUAGUGAAGUUUUUAAAUCCAAAUAUUACGGGUUGAGAAAACUGGCUUUUAUAACUGGAAGGGGCAUCCAAGGUCUCUUGGGUUCCCACUUGAUAUGUAAAUUGCAGGGUGGACCCUUUGGGCAACAACCAAUCCGCUGAGAGUCCUGGGGUGGAGAAGCAAGAGAGGACAGCUCACCAAGGACAACUCAUCUCUCAGCAGCUGUGUGUGUCUCAGGGGGUUGGGGAUCACACCUGGAGCUUGGGAGUGCCAUGGUGGGGAGCAGAAGCAGGGGAGGCUGGUCCUGGCUGGGCAGGCUGUAAGCCGUGGCCUGCUUGGGUUCCUGCAAGGAAAGGUUCUCCCCUGUUCCUGACUUAUUGCUGCUGGGUCUGAGCCAGUUGCUAUUCAGGGCAAGGCAACUAGACAGACUUGGCUCCACCGAAAUGCCUACAUAAACAAGUUGAUGCUUGACCUCCUAAUUUUGGCUCUGCACUGAACUAACAAGAUCAUUUUUAUUAUUAUUAAGAGUAUUGAAAAAACAAAAGUUUGUCUUCUGAGUUUACAGAACUGGAAAUAAAUUGCCUGGAGAGGACAGAGCUUUUUCAAAUUCUUCAGACCUGCCUAUUGUUGCUCUGUCUCCUGCUCUUGCCUUCUCUUAUUCCUCCUCAUUCUCUUUUUUCCUCAUUCCUUUUCUUUUUCUUUUUCCAAGAAAAAAAAAGGGCUAAAUCUCUCGCUAAAUAUUGCACGAUUUCUUUCUUGUAAGUCAUAAGUCAUAGCAUGGGAAAAUACCAAAUGUGGGCACGGCACACAAUCUACUGACAAACGCUAAAAUCGGUUGUUUCCAGAGACCAGCAGUACUAACCUCAAUCCCUCCUUCCCCAUUCUUUCUCCAAAGGAGAUAGAAAAUAACCCCAAAUUCAUGCUAAUCUAAUCAAGACGGAAAAUAAAUCAAUGAGUACCUCAGUCAAAAUACCAAAUGGUCGCUCUAUUUCAACAAACCAAGGAAUUGCAAAGAUUUACAUACUUGGAGAACAACUUAUCCUCCAGCCAUCAUGUGGCUAAGGAGAGAAGCAGCAAACAGGGCCCUGACACCGUCACAGGGCAGGGCUGUGCCCCACACUGUGAUCCCAGUUCAGUUUAUGAGGCCUUCUGUUUGAUUUGCAAAACCAAUUCAUCUGGCAGUAUAAUUUGUGCAGCCAAUCACAUCCAAGGCCAAUAAGGGUUCUUUUACGGGCAAAUAUCUUCCCCUGUGAGUAAUUUCACACAUGAGUACAGCAACAGGGAGCUAAAAAUGGAUUUCUGACAUUAUCUUUUAUAUGACAAACAGACAUUUUCACUUGGUUUGAUGAACUGAUAGAAAUCCUCAUUCAUGCAGAUUUCUAUUCUCGGCAGUCCAGCAAAAGAAGACCAGAAUAGCCAAGCCAGAAGUGGAAUAAAAGGGGCCUACUCUGUGGGAGUGUUUAAUUAUAGGCUCAGUUACAACAAAGGCCAUUAGAUGCCUCAUUUAUGUCACCUUUCUGUGCUUCCUUCUUCUUAUCACUAGUCAAAAAGGGAUUACAUUUGUGUGUGAGGGACGCUGAGCAGUGGCCUUCACUCCCACAUUCCUUCGGACUCUUGCAUCAUCAGACAUCUAUUUUCCCUCCACACAACACAGGGGUGCACAUGGGGCUUGGAGUGAUUUUACAGGAGACUGAAAUUGAAAGCCAGUGAAACAUAUUGAGUUUAUAGAAGUGGUAGUGUUGCAGCUCAACUUAUGCCACAGAACUGUUCCGGUACAAUGAAUCUCGAGGCGGAAAUAGGAGUGGCACCCUGUCCUAUUUCCCCUAGUGAUCCACUAGUAAAAUUUUUGCUUCCUGUUACUGCACGGUUCUGCUCUGCUGAUCUAAAAGUCUUAGUUCCAAAGGGAGGAAUACUGCUACCAGGAGACACAACAAUCAUUCCACUGAAUUGAAAGUGAAGACUGCCACCCAACUGCUUUGGGCUCUUCAUGCUUCUCAGUUAACACAGAAGGGAGUUCUCGUCGCUGUGCUGGCUGGGGUGAUUGAUCUGGGUUUCCAAGGGAAAUUGGGCUGCUACUUCAUGACGAAGCACACUGCCGGCCGCAAGGCCAAGCCUCCAAUGCCACGGACUGGGGAUACCUCCUCUCCACUUCCAUCUGCCGUGGGCAAACUUGCUGGCAAAGCUUCCUGAGAAGCACGGUUCCUGGCACAUCAUUGUGCGCCCUGACAGUUACAGUUCACAUCUGGAGAGCCUGCUGCCAUCUGAGAAGAUUCCUUUAGCAAGGCUUAAAUCAAAAUGAGGGAUUCCUGCAUAGCUGAUGAAGAAACAGUCUAACAAGGGGAUUCGAACAAUUAUUUUAAUUAUAAUGAAGUGAAGUCAAGGUAACUUUGAACAGGCCAUUAUCAUUGUGCUUGAGGAAAGAAAUUUCAAAAUCCCAAGCUACGGUGAACCACGGCUUCAGCAAUACAAAAAGGAUUGAGACGGACAUUCUCUUUUCCUAUGAAAAGCUCUCGAUAGAGUGAUGGCAAUUUAUAUUGCGUUGAAUGCCCGAUUGAAGUUCUGCUUCAGCCAAUCUCUUACCACUGGAUCUUCCUCUGCAGUCUUCAAUCGCAUUUAGUUAUGCUCUUUCCUAAACACACACACACACACACACACACACACACACACACACAUAUCCCAAUCCCCUCAUCUUACCAAUACCCACUCAAGCUUUUCUCUUCCUUUCUGCGCUAACUCCAUUUGCCAGCAUUCCCCAGACCACCUUGAUCUGGAUUCAGAUACACUCCAUCUGGUUUUCAUGUUCACUCAUAAGUCCCUCCCCUCCUCCAACAUGGUCACUCCUCUCUUACCGUAUUUUCCUCCACCACCUAUCUCGCUCAGAACCUGGGAUUUAGUGGAUGCUGAAUAAUGUUCGCUGAAUGAAACCUACUGAACUUUCUCUGGCCUUACUCUGUCUCUAAUUCUACUGCUCCCACGAUUUUCUCGCCUGUCAUUCCACUGAUGUUAUUAAAAUUUAUUUCUUGUACAAAAUAUGAAUUUUGCCCCUUCAACUUUACUCAAUGUGUACUGAUGCCUGUAUCUGUGAGUAUAUUUGGUUGAUGUGUGUCUAUGUCUCUAUAAUGUCUUUGUGAGUAAAUUCAAGUGGUAGGACUCGGAGCCACUACAUAACUGGACUAGUUGAGGCCGACUGGUACUUGGAUGAUCGUAAUAAUACAUCUCUGACUUACACAGAAAUGCACUGCAUAAUCACCAGCACGGAAUUAUAAGGUUGUGAUGUUAAAUGUAACUGUGUUACACGACUCUCAAGAUCAAUGCAAGGUGAUUAAAUAAUGAAAAGAAUAUAAAUCCUCCCCUUGACAUAUCUCAGAACCAUGCAAAGUCCAACAACCUCACUUGUGAUAUGACAUCAUAGUAGCCUGCCAAUCAUGUACCUAUCCUUGGAUUGCUGCAUCCUCUCUCUCUCUCUCUCUCUCUCUAGUUCUCUCUCACCUUUAUGCAGUUGUUACUGCUAAUGAAACAACUAGACAAGAUGUUUCCUACUGGCUGAUGAAGAAAUUCAGUUUUAUUAGACCGAGUCCAGAAAAAUGUGCUCAAUUUUAACUUAGCUAAUCUUUCUUAGGCAGAUAUACUGGAGGAAAUGGCCAUCAAGCCAUGGACCCUGUCUUGGGGGUCCUUCUAGCAAGGGACAGUCCUUACCAAUCCAGAAAGCAGACAGAAAUGAAAUACUUGGAUGACAGUUUUUUCCUCCUUUUCCUUUCCUAUUAAGGCAUAAUAACCCCACCAAGUGGUAAAAUCCCCUAUUGGAUAUUGAAUUAGCUAUUUCCUCUUUGGGGUGAAGGAAGAAGGAAUGGAGAAAAAGGAGAGUUAUCUUCCAUUCUCUCAAUGUUUGGAAGGGAAUGGAUAUCCCCCUUGGCUUGGGUGGUUUCAUGGGGAAAACAGGAGUCCCUCUACCUUCCUUCAAUACCAUGUUUGGUUUUGCUGAUACAUAUACAUAUACAUAUACAUAUACAUAUACAUAUACAUAUACAUAUACAUUCAUGUAAAAGUUCAUUUCUUGAUUAAAGAUCUACAUAUCAUAUUAUCAGUCAUAAAAGCUUUAAAUCUCUGGAAGGAGAAAAGCAGAAUCUAUAAGAAUAAGACAUUAACAAUGGUCAUCUUGGAUAAGAUA